Molecule: long non-coding RNA, 880 nt
Organism: Rosa rugosa (rugosa rose)
Lineage: Eukaryota; Viridiplantae; Streptophyta; Magnoliopsida; Rosales; Rosaceae
Exons: 5
Source: RefSeq, a predicted model, not a curated record
AAAAUGUUAUCUCUUCCGCUCUUCGACUCUUCCCUCAAAGGCUCAAACUGACAAACUCUCACUCUCUCAGUCUCCAUCCUAGAAACAAAAACGGAGAAGGAUCGGCCGCACCAAACAAUCACGGCACGUCUCCAGCGAGACGUUAAAGGUCUCCCUCGUCCUCGUCCUGUCACCAAACAAUCAGUGCGCGUAGUCCUCGUCUCGAUUGCAAAUCCUACAAAUCAAGUAAUAGAAUAUCAAAACCCAGACGAGCGAGACGACCUCCCUCAAAGUCUCACUCUCUCAGUCUCCUUCGAUUUGUCAGCCUCCUUCGAUUUGUUGAGUGACUGAGUAUAGGAGAGCGAACACAGCUGCAACCAGCAACCCGUCUCCGCCAGUCCGCCUCUCCGGUCUCCGAGCUCCGCCUUCAGGCUCCAGGUAGAAGAGAAACUUGAGUCUGGACAGGGGAAGACAACUUUCCGCCGUUUCUUUUCUAGAUUUUGUACACCAAUCUUUUUGGAGUCAUUCGUUCUAACAUUUUUAGCUGAGUGGGGAGAUCGUAGCCAAAUAGCGACAAUCGCUGAAAUCUUGACCUACAGAUUGCUUCUUGCUUACUGCCUUGGAGUUGGAGAUCUAAUUCCAUGUCCGAAGCAUCUGCUAGCUCCUCUGACCCAUCCGCUUCCAAUUUUGAAUGAUGCAGCUGCAAUUUAGUUUGCUGCAAAUUGAUUUAUUUGCUGCAAAUUGAUUUAGUUUUCAGUAUUUAAGUUUGCUGCAAAUUGAUGCAGCUGCAUUGUUUAAUUUGGACUAAGUUUAUUCACUUUAUUGUUUAGUUUUAUUUGCUGCAUGUGAGACUUUGAGUUUGCAGUUUAUGCAUGUGAAACUUUUGAUUGUUUGUGUUUGA